CUCCAGUUUAAAUUUACAACUCUACUGCACACAGCACUUGAAGGAACAACUAUGUGAUCAUAAAGACUUACAGAGGUCUGCGGGCGGUUAGCGGGAAGCUCUGUGAGUAUUAGCUGUGUUGUAGGAGCGGAUCGCCUAACUCACACCUGGUUGUGCUUGGAAAGGAGGAGUUCAGUCACAGAGGACAGACCGUAACCGGGAGCUUGUGCAACGCUGGCAAUAACCGAAGGAUUGAGUUGAAACAAGGCACGGGUGUCCACAUAACAGAGGCAAGAAGAGAGGAGAGGACUACACUACCCACAAUGCCGCUCAGUGCAAGGCUGUAGUGGUGAAACAAUCUGCAAACAUCAAACCAAACAGAAAGAAAGACACACUCUUGACAACUGUGAAUAAAAUGUUAUUCAGUCAACAGUAAAGUAACAUUAAACAC
Long non-coding RNA from Bombina bombina (fire-bellied toad), 430 nucleotides. RefSeq lists it as uncharacterized. Lineage: Eukaryota; Metazoa; Chordata; Amphibia; Anura; Bombinatoridae. The transcript has 3 exons. The record is from RefSeq and is a predicted model, not a curated record.